ACUCCCAAACCCCAUGUGAACAUACCUGUUUCGUUCCCUCGGCGGUGUCCGGCAACGGCCCGCCAGAGGACCCAACAAACUCUUUUGAAUUUUUCAGUAUCUUCUGAGUAAAACAAACAAUAAAUCAAAACUUUCAACAACGGAUCUCUUGGUUCUGGCAUCGAUGAAGAACGCAGCGAAAUGCGAUAAGUAAUGUGAAUUGCAGAAUUCAGUGAAUCAUCGAAUCUUUGAACGCACAUUGCGCCCGCCAGUAUUCUGGCGGGCAUGCCUGUUCGAGCGUCAUUUCAACCCUCAAGCUCUGCUUGGUGUUGGGGAUCGGCAAGGCGUCCUCCGGGUCGCGCCGUCCCCCAAAUAUAGUGGCGGUCUCGCUGUAGCUUCCUCUGCGUAGUAAUACACCUCGCUCUGGAGUCUCGGUGCGGCCACGCCGUAAAACCCCCAACUUUUUUCUGGUUGACCUCGAAUCAGGUAGGACUACCCGCUGAACUUAAGCAUAUCAAUAAGCGGAGGAAAAGAAACCAACAGGGAUUGCCCUAGUAACGGCGAGUGAAGCGGCAACAGCUCAAAUUUGAAAUCUGGCCCUCGGGUCCGAGUUGUAAUUUGUAGAGGAUGCUUUUGGUGAGGUACCUUCCGAGUUCCCUGGAACGGGACGCCAUAGAGGGUGAGAGCCCCGUCUGGUUGGAUACCAAACCUCUGUAAAGCUCCUUCGACGAGUCGAGUAGUUUGGGAAUGCUGCUCUAAAUGGGAGGUAUAUGUCUUCUAAAGCUAAAUACCGGCCAGAGACCGAUAGCGCACAAGUAGAGUGAUCGAAAGA
Molecule: ribosomal RNA, 811 nt
Filed under: fungal sp.
Lineage: Eukaryota; Fungi
Description: eukaryotic LSU rRNA
Rfam family: Eukaryotic large subunit ribosomal RNA (bases 452-811)
Source: RNAcentral